RNAcentral lists this ribosomal RNA (726 nucleotides) under Dothideomycetes sp. genotype 432. Its description in RNAcentral is "eukaryotic LSU rRNA". The stretch from base 469 to 726 matches the Rfam family "Eukaryotic large subunit ribosomal RNA", at positions 1 to 262 of the family's 3401-position model. Lineage: Eukaryota; Fungi; Ascomycota; Dothideomycetes. The record is from RNAcentral.
GGAUCAUUACCGAGUGAGGGCCCCCGGCCCGACCUCCAACCCUUUGUUGAACUUCCGCGUUGCCUCGGGGGCGACCCGGCCGUCCGCGCCGGGACCCCCGACGGACCCAACCAAAACUCUUUGCAUGUCGUGCGUCGGAGUAUUAAAGUAAAUCAAUCAAAACUUUCAACAACGGAUCUCUUGGUUCUGGCAUCGAUGAAGAACGCAGCGAAAUGCGAUAAGUAAUGUGAAUUGCAGAAUUCAGUGAAUCAUCGAAUCUUUGAACGCACAUUGCGCCCUUUGGUAUUCCGAAGGGCAUGCCCGUUCGAGCGUCAUUUCACCAAUCAAGCCUGGCUUGGUGUUGGGCCCCGGGGAGACCCGGGCCCCAAAGUUCGCCGGCCGGACGUCCCGGAUCUCAGCGUUGUGGCAUCAAAACCUGCAGAGAGAUGGGGCGGCCGUGCCGUCACAAAACCCAUUUUCAUGAGAGGUUGACCUCGGAUCGGGUAGGGAUACCCGCUGAACUUAAGCAUAUCAAUAAGCGGAGGAAAAGAAACCAACAGGGAUUGCCCUAGUAACGGCGAGUGAAGCGGCAACAGCUCAAAUUUGAAAUCUGGCGCAAGCCCGAGUUGUAAUUUGUAGAGGAUGCUUCUGGGCAGCGGCCGGUCUAAGUUCCUUGGAACAGGACGUCAUAGAGGGUGAGAAUCCCGUAUGUGACCGGCUGGCACCCUCCACGUAGCUCCUUCGACG